Molecule: long non-coding RNA, 585 nt
Filed under: Helianthus annuus (common sunflower)
Lineage: Eukaryota; Viridiplantae; Streptophyta; Magnoliopsida; Asterales; Asteraceae
Description: hypothetical non coding rna
Source: RNAcentral
GAACUAUACAGUUUUAUGUAUCAUUAAAUUUUUAGUUUGUCACGUGAAACUAUGUAUUAUUCAAGAAAAGAAUCACUUGAUCAAACUUUGGGCAAAGCAACACAAAUUAGAAAUGUUUGCUGAUAAUUUAGUAAAAUCUUACACAAUGAUGCAUGUGACAAAUACUAGAUUUGAGUAGGGAUAGCAAUUCCUACAUUAAAACGAUAACACGGCACGAAGUUAACAGGUUUCGUGUCUAUAACAGGUCGACACGUUAAGAUCUGUUAAUGACACGUUUAUAAUUUUAAACAAAAAAAAUGUGGGGCUCCUAAUUUUAAAUAAAAGAAUACCGGGAAGUAAAGUUUAUAUAUUUAAUAACAUGUCGUCCGUGUCUUCACAAGUUGUAUGAUACGCUGGUUCGGGUUCGGGUUUGAAAAAUCUGACACAAUAAGAUUUUGUUUCGGUUUCGUGUCUUAACAGGUCAGGUUGACAAUUGACACGAUAUGCCAGCCCUAGAUUUGAGAACAAAACUUACAGAAUUAUGCAUAUGUAUUAUGCUGAAAUUGAUGAGAGAAACAUGAGGCAUGCUAAUGCAUUAUAAUCUGA